UACGGGGGGGGCAAGCGUUGUUCGGAAUUACUGGGCGUAAAGGGCUCGUAGGCGGCCAACUAAGUCAGACGUGAAAUCCCUCGGCUUAACCGGGGAACUGCGUCUGAUACUGGAUGGCUAGAGGUUGGGAGAGGGAUGCGGAAUUCCAGGUGUAGCGGUGAAAUGCGUAGAUAUCGUGAGGAACACCAGAGGCGAAGGCGGCUACCUGGACAAUUGCUGACGCUCAGGCACGAAAGCGUGGGGAGCAAAAGGG
RNAcentral lists this ribosomal RNA (253 nucleotides) under uncultured bacterium. Its description in RNAcentral is "partial 16S ribosomal RNA". It matches the Rfam family "Bacterial small subunit ribosomal RNA", at positions 524 to 776 of the family's 1533-position model. The record is from RNAcentral.